This 189-nucleotide long non-coding RNA is filed under the name Fukomys damarensis (Damara mole-rat). Its description in RNAcentral is "lncRNA (ENSFDAG00000031038.1)". Lineage: Eukaryota; Metazoa; Chordata; Mammalia; Rodentia; Bathyergidae. The record is from RNAcentral.
CCUCCUCCUUCAAGUGUGACCUGAAGACAGAAUGGGCUUCGUACUUCACCUUUAAUUCUUUCAAAAUGCAGACUGUCUGUGAGCCUGUACACACCUAGGCAGGAAGAAGCAGUCUGGUUUCUACACUACCAUCAGGGUACAAAGCUAAUUCAAAUGAACUGUGUGAGCUGGUGACAGACACCCAAAGAG